GACGAACGCUGGCGGCGUGCCUAAUACAUGCAAGUUGAGCGAUGAAGAUUGGUGCUUGCACCAAUUUGAAGAGCAGCGAACGGGUGAGUAACGCGUGGGGAAUCUGCCUUUGAGCGGGGGACAACAUUUGGAAACGAAUGCUAAUACCGCAUAAUAACUUUAAACAUAAGUUUUAAGUUUGAAAGAUGCAAUUGCAUCACUCAAAGAUGAUCCCGCGUUGUAUUAGCUAGUUGGUGAGGUAAAGGCUCACCAAGGCGAUGAUAUAUAGCCGACCUGAGAGGGUGAUCGGCCACAUUGGGACGGGGACACGGCCCAAACUCCUACGGGAGGCAGCAGUAGGGAAUCUUCGGCAAGGGACGAAAGUCUGACCGAGCAACGCCGCGUGAGGGAAGAAGGUUUUCGGAUCGUAAAACUCUGUUGGUAGAGAAGAACGUUGGUGAGAGUGGAAAGCUCAUCAAGUGACGGUAACUACCCAGAAAGGGACGGCUAACUACGUG
This 497-nucleotide ribosomal RNA is filed under the name uncultured bacterium. RNAcentral's name for it is "partial 16S ribosomal RNA". It matches the Rfam family "Bacterial small subunit ribosomal RNA", at positions 28 to 507 of the family's 1533-position model. The record is from RNAcentral.